Molecule: long non-coding RNA, 447 nt
Organism: Neofelis nebulosa (Clouded leopard)
Lineage: Eukaryota; Metazoa; Chordata; Mammalia; Carnivora; Felidae
Exons: 2
Source: RefSeq, a predicted model, not a curated record
UUGCUCAUUUUCUAAGACAUUCUUUUUUUUUUUUUUAACUCCCUAAGGCGUUCUUAUACAGAAAGUAGUGUUUCUGUUACUUAUCUUCGGAAUGACAGUUGUAACAUAAAAGCAACACACUAAGAUCUAAAAUUAAUGAAAUCUUAGCAUAUAUUCCAGUGCAUAUAUAUUCUCCCACGAUUCACCCCUGUAUUUCUGAAGUGUGAUAUCUCUGGCAUUUAACUAUUUUGAAUCUUGAGUUAUUACACUAAAAUAGGUAAAUCAUUUAUUUGAAUUUAUAAUCUAUUUACAAGGUUCAAUAUUCAAACAGUAUAAUGUGAGAAGCUUCCCACUCUGCCCUCCAUUUGCCUCUUACUUCCUACCGCCAAAUAGGAAACUACAGCAAGUUUUUUGUUUAUCCCUGCUAGAACAGAUACCCAACAAAUGCAUGUUUUUUUUGUUGUUGUU